UUUAAGGUUGGAGAUGGAUUUCAACGUUUGGAUUGAAGAGUCCUAGCCACUCUUUGGAUUACAAAGUACAAAAUUGGUUAAAGAGUUAAUAAAUUGGAAAAAUUAAGAUAUACAUAAGAUUAGAGAUGGUUUAAAGUAUGAGAUGAGACUACAACUUUUUGAUUGACGACACCAAACCGUUCCUUGGAUUGAAGUGUAGAUGAUUGGAUGUAAAGCUAGGAAAACGGACGAAUAAAGGUCUUUAGAAGACUCAUGGACGAUAUAUUGAAAGGGAAAAAACACAAAUUUGUUAUUGAUAGUCAUGUAUCCCGUGAUGAAGGAAGAUAAGAAACGAUAAGAGAAUUUUGGAUUAGAGUAUGAUAAAGUUACUUCUUAGACAUGUGGGCGAUUUGUUAUAGUGAUUUACGUUGGAAGAUAAAGUUAGAGGUUAUAUGUUGUAAAUGGGAGAACAAAAAUUUGGUGUUGAUAAUGACGUAUUCCAUGAUAAAGGCAAAAGAGUAAUGAUUAAGAGAAUUUUGGAUUAAAGUAUGUGAUUGGACUUCAACUUUUAAUUCAAGAGGUCUAGCCGUUGUAAAGGCUAAAGUUCAAUUGGAGAGUUUGAAAAAUGGACGACUUAAACGAUAUUGAAGAUAAGAGAAUUUUGGUUUAAGGUUGGAGAUGGACUUCAACGUUUGGAUUGAAGAGUCCUAGCCACUCUUUGGAUUUCAAAGUACAAAAUUGGUUGAAGAGUUCAUAAAUUGGAAAAAUUAAGUGAUACAUAAGAUUAGAGGUGGUUUUAAAUAUGAGAUGAGACCACAACUUUUUGAUUGACGACACCAAGCCGUUCUUUGGAUUGAAGUGUAGAUAAUUGGAUGUAAAGCUAAGGAAACGGACGAAUAAAGGUCUUUAGAAGACUCAUGGACGAUAUAUUAGAAGGGAGAAAACACAAAUUUGUUAUUAAUAGUCAUGUAUCUCAUGACGAAGGAAGAUAAGAAACGAUAAGAGACUUUUGGAUUAAAGUAUGAUAAAGUUACUUCUUAGACAUGUGGGCGAUUUGUUAUAGUGAUUGAUGUUGGAAGAUAAAGUUAGAGUAGAUAUGUUGUAAAUGGGAGAACAAAAAUUUGGUGUUGAUAAUGACGUAUUCCAUGAUGAAGGCAAAAGAGUAAUGAUUAAGAGAAUUUUGGAUUAAAGUAUGUGAUUGAACUUCAACUUUUGAUUCAAGAGGUCUAACCGUUGUAAAGGCUAAAGUUAAAUUGGAGAGUUUGAAAAAUGGAUAAUUUAAAAGAUAUUGAAGAUAAGAGAAUUUUGGUUUAAGGUUGGAGAUGGACUUCAACGUUUGGAUUGAAGAGUCGUAGCCACUCUUUGGAUUUCAAAGUACAAAAUUGGUUGAAGUGUUCAUAAAUUGGAAAAAUUAAGAGAUACAUAAGAUUAGAGAUGGUUUUAAGUAUGAAAGAUGAGACUAUAACUUUUUGAUUGACGACAACAAGCGAUUCUUUGGAUUGAAGUGUAGAUAAUUGGAUGUAAAGCUAAGGAAACGGACGAAUAAAGGUUUUCAGAAGACUCAUGGACGAUAUAUUGGAAGGGAGAAAACACAAAUUUGUUAUUGAUAGUCAUGUAUCCCAUGAUGAAGGAAGAUAAGAAAUGAUAAGAGAAUUUUGGAUUAAAGUAUCAAAGUUACUUCUUAGACAUGUGGGCGAUUUGUUAUAGUGAUUGAUGUUGGAAGAUAAAGUUAGAGAUUAUAUGUUGUAAAUGGGAGAACAAAAAUUUUGUGUUGAUAAUGACAUAUUCCAUGAUGAACGCAAAAGAGUAAUGAUUAAGAGAAUUUUGGAUUAAAGUAUGUGAAUUAACUUCAACUUUUGAUUCAAGAAGUCUAACCGUUGUAAAGGCUAAAGUUAAAUUGGAGAGUUUGAAAAAUGGAUAAUUUAAAAGAUAUUGAAGAUAAGAGAAUUUUGGUUUAAGGUUGGAGAUGGACUUCAACGUUUGGAUUGAAGAGUCGUAGCCACCCUUUGGAUUUCAAAGUACAAAAUUGGUUGAAGUGUUCAUAAAUUGGAAAAAUUAAGAGAUACAUAAGAUUAGAGAUGGUUUUAAGUAUGAAAGAUGAGACUAUAACUUUUUGAUUGACGACAACAAGCGAUUCUUUGGAUUGAAGUGUAGAUAAUUGGAUGUAAAGCUAAGGAAACGGACGAAUAAAGAUUUUCAGAAUACUCAUGGACGAUAUAUUGGAAGGGAGAAAACACAAAUUUGUUAUUGAUAGUCAUGUAUCCCAUGAUGAAGGAAGAUAAGAAAUGAUAAGAGAAUUUUGGAUUAAAGUAUGAUAAAGUUACUUCUUAGACAUGUGGGCGAUUUGUUAUAGUGAAUGAUGUUGAAAGAUAAAGUUAGAGAUUAUAUGUUGUAAAUGGGAGAACAAAAAUUUUGUGUUGAUAAUGACAUAUUCCAUGAUGAACGCAAAAGAGUAAUGAUUAAGAGAAUUUUGGAUUAAAGUAUGUGAAUUAACUUCAACUUUUGAUUCAAGAAGUCUAGCCGUUGUAAAGGCUAAAGUUCAGUUGGAGAGUUUGAAAAAUGGACGACUUAAAAGAUAUUGAAGAUAAGAGAAUUUUGGUUUAAGGUUGGAGAUGGACUUCAACGUUUGGAUUGAAGAGUCCUAGCCACUCUUUUGAUUUCAAAGUACAAAAUUGGUUGAAGAGUUCAUAAAUUGGAAAAAUUAAGUGAUACAUAAGAUUAGAGGUGGUUUUAAGUAUGAGAUGAGACCACAACUUUUUGAUUGACGACACCAAGCCGUUCUUUGGAUUGAAGUGUAGAUAAUUGGAUGUAAAGCUAAGGAAACGGACGAAUAAAGAUUUUCAGAAGACUCAUGGACGAUAUAUUGGAAGGGAGAAAACACAAAUUUGUUAUUGAUAGUCAUGUAUCCCAUGAUGAAGGAAGAUAAGAAACGAUAAGAGAAUUUUGGGUUAAAGUAUGAUAAAGUUACUUCUAAGACAUGUGGACGAUUUGUUAUAGUGAUUUAUAUUGAAAAUAAAGUUAGAGGUUAUAUGUUGUAAAUGGGAGAACAAAAAUUUGGUGAUGAAGGCAAAAGAGUAAUGAUUAAGAGAAUUGUGCAUUAAAGUAUGUAAUUGAACUUCAACUUUUGA
Cucumis melo (muskmelon) is the source of this 3107-nucleotide long non-coding RNA. RefSeq lists it as uncharacterized. The record is from RefSeq and is a predicted model, not a curated record. Lineage: Eukaryota; Viridiplantae; Streptophyta; Magnoliopsida; Cucurbitales; Cucurbitaceae. The transcript is spliced from 3 exons.